This 254-nucleotide ribosomal RNA is filed under the name uncultured bacterium. RNAcentral's name for it is "partial 16S ribosomal RNA". It matches the Rfam family "Bacterial small subunit ribosomal RNA", at positions 524 to 776 of the family's 1533-position model. The record is from RNAcentral.
CACGUAGGGGGCAAGCGUUGUCCGGAUUUAUUGGGCGUAAAGAGCUCGUAGGCGGUUUCGUAAGUCGGGUGUGAAAACUCUAGGCUCAACCUAGAGACGCCACCCGAUACUGCGAUGACUAGAGUCCGGUAGGGGAGUGUGGAAUUCCUGGUGUAGCGGUGAAAUGCGCAGAUAUCAGGAAGAACACCCGUGGCGAAAGCGGCUCUCUGGAACGGUACUGACGCUGAGACGCGAAAGCGUGGGGAGCGAACAGG